UACGUAGGGAGCAAGCGUUGUUCGGAUUUACUGGGCGUAAAGGGCGCGUAGGCGGCAAAUUAAGUCAGCUGUGAAAUCUCCGAGCUUAACUCGGAACGGUCAGCUGAUACUGAUCUGCUAGAGUGCGGAAGGGGCAAUCGGAAUUCUUGGUGUAGCGGUGAAAUGCGUAGAUAUCAGAAGGAACGCCGGUGGCGAAAGCGACGCACUGGAUCUCUACUGACGCUGAGGCGCGAAAGCCAGGGGAGCGAACGGG
This 253-nucleotide ribosomal RNA is filed under the name uncultured bacterium. Its description in RNAcentral is "partial 16S ribosomal RNA". It matches the Rfam family "Bacterial small subunit ribosomal RNA", at positions 524 to 776 of the family's 1533-position model. The record is from RNAcentral.